AGGUGUAAUCAUUACGCCGAUUCUGUUGCAAAACGUUUCGUCUGUUAUUUUUUGUUGUUGCAAAAACCGUCCAUUCCAAGAGGAAAAAGCAAUCGAGAGUUCCUAUUGGACAAAAUCAGAGAAUAGAGCAGUCUUCCCCGGUUUUUAGCUGAGCCGUAGCCUGCAUCAUCCGAGCCAUGUUGGACCUGCCCAUCAAGAACACUGUCAUAGCUUGAACCAGCCAAUCACAUUCAUCGGCCAGCCAACCAAUCCUUCAAUCAGCGGCCCAUCCUAACAGACAUAAGGAGCUAAAGCUGCACCUCUACCUCACUCCUUCUUCACAACGGCGACCAGUCUAAACAAAAAUAAAUGGAUAGAAUGGAGCAGACGCUCUGCGCUAUCCCACCAAGAUCUAGCUACGACGACUACUACUCCCAGUACUUACUAGUGAUGUAGUCGAGGAACCAUUCACCGCUUGUAGAUUGAUUUGAUUGUCCGGCUUCUUUUUUGUCUUUUUCUUGCUCUUGCAGCAGCAUUUCGCACAGAUGCAGAUAAUACACACCAAAAACAUCAAGACAAUGACA
Molecule: non-coding RNA, 563 nt
Organism: Salmo salar (Atlantic salmon)
Lineage: Eukaryota; Metazoa; Chordata; Actinopteri; Salmoniformes; Salmonidae
Source: RefSeq, a predicted model, not a curated record